CCGACUUGCUCUGAUACCAAAUCAAGUUGAGAUCUUCUUAUCUUGACUUCUCUGAUGCCCAAUUCAAAUCAGGAUCACCUUACCCUGACUUAGUCGCUGACUGAUUCAGAAAGUAGUUCAGCAACACAAGAACAAGAGAUUAAAGAACAACCUUUCUUUAUUGAUUUAGAAACUUCACAAAACUAAAUCUCUCUUAGGUCUUUUGGAACAACUCUCCAAAGCCUUAUCUCUUGGGUCUUAUGGAACAACUCUCCAUAAGCCUCUUCUUCUCUCUUUAGGUCUUAUGGAACAACUCUCCAUAAACCUCUUCUUCUCUCUUUAGGUCUUAUGGAACAACUCUCCAUAAACCUCAUCUUCUCUCUUUAGGUCUUAUGGAACAACUCUCCAUAGACUCUUCUUCCAAAAUAGAACUUAGCUACCCCUAAGUCUAUAUGAGUCUCUUCCUCUAGACUCUCAUGAGAUCUGUCUCAACACCUCCACGUGUCUCGACUCUCUUCUUGAGCUCUCUCCUUUGAGCUACACGAGCUCCCCGCUGAGCUUCACGAGCUCCCUGCUUGAGCUGCUCUCACGAGCUCUCCUCUGAGCUACCCUCUGAGCUACUCUUUGAGCUACUUCGGCUAUACAAGCUACUCGAGCUCCUUGAGCUCCUCUGAGCUGUUCGAGCUCCCCUGAGCUUUUCUUCUUCUUCUUCAUAAGGCUAGUAUUUAUACUAGAACCAAGCUUCUCCUUUGCCUAUUGUGAAUAGGAAGACUUACAAAUCUUGUCCAACUUGACAUUAUUUGUAUUUCCUUUUCUCUUGAUUUCCUUUCUUGGAUUUCCUUUCUUGGAUCUCUUCUAGCAUCUUCUAGAAGGAGAUAACUUGCUCCUCAAGUUAGUUGGAAUUAUCCAACAUUCUCCCCCUUAACUCCAACUUGAAUUCCGGGAAGCUUGAUUCUCGCCAAUGCCUUAGUAAGUGUGUCCGCCUUCUGCUCCACACCUUGAACAUUCUCAACUUCAACCUUUGUUGAGAUACGAUCUCUUGCUCCUCCUCAGCUUUUGAGAACUUCAAAUUUGACAUCUUCAAAUUUGACUGCAUCUUAGUAUCCACAAGCAUUCCUUGAGCAUCUCCCUCUUGUUCUGCUCCUUGAAUUACUUCUUGUACUAGUGCUUGUACUACUUCAACGAUUCCUUGAACACAACCGUCUUGUUUUGCUCCUUGAAUCACGUCUUGUACUACUUCAUGUACUACUUCAGCGAGAAGUAUUCCUUGAGCACAAACCUCUUGUUCAACUCCUUGAAUAACUUCCUGUAGUACUCUCUCUACUACUUCAAAGACUAGUACAGAAUACCCAAAUAUCAUAACCCAACUUGGUUUGAUAUUCUCUAGACCCCGACUUGGUUCUAGCAUCUCUAGAAUCUGACUUGAUUCUAGCAUCAUUAGAACCUGGCUUGGUUCCAAUAUUGACCAACCAUCUACCUUCUUGAGAUGCGGCCUCGUGGUUGUCUUGAGUGAUAUCCUCCAUGACAUCAUCUUCUUCAUGUCCUUCUCCAGCAUCUUCUCCGUGAAUCAAUUCCAAAACUUAUAUGACCUAACCGAGCAUGCCAUGUCCUUGUAGAUUCAUUAGCAAUUCAUUCAGUCAGUCCUUCAGUGAGUCCUUCAACGAGUCCUUCAGCAAGUCCUUCAGCACGUCCCUCAGCAAGUCCUUCAGCUUGCAGACAUGUUGCCUUGCUUAUCUCCAAACAACUUGAUGUUGACCAGCCUUGUCACAUCACUUUGGAUAAAUCCUUCUUCUGCUUUUGGUUGUGAUCACCGGUUUCUCCUCCUUGAGAUUGCAAGGUGGACCUUCCACGCCCCAUGCCUCUACCGGAACUGUCACCUCCAAAGCUUCCUCUACCAUAACCACCGUAGUUAUAGCGUCCUCUGUUAUAACGUCUUCUUGUUAUAACCGCCUCUGUUUCCUUCUUGAAACUUCCCGUAGCCUCCACGCUUAGGGUUUGAGGUCCUUGAUCUUCACUUUGGGUUUCUUCCCCAACACGUUCUUCAUACUCUAGUAACCUCCCAACAAUAUCUUCAAACCCUAUCUGCUUUAGGUCAAGAACUUGCUCCAGGGAUGCUACAAUAUGAAUGAACUUGGUUCGUGGUUGUGGAUUCUCGCCUGCCAUACUUGCUUACGAGUCACGUACCACUGGUCUUGUCUAGAGUCUUCAAACUAAGCUCUGACACACCACAAAUCUUGUCCAGAGUCUUCAAACUAAGUUCUGAACUUGUACAGAGUCUUCAAACUAAGCUCUGCCAUACCACAGGUCUCGUCCAGAGUCUUCAAACCAGAAGCUCUGAUACCAAAUAAAGUUCAGAGCCGACUUGCUCUGAUACCAAAUAAAGUUCAGUGCCGACUUGCUCUGAUACCAAAUCAAGUUGAGAUCUUCUUAUCUUGACUUCUCUGAUGCCCAAUUCAAAUCAGGAUCACCUUACCCUGACUUAGUCGCUGACUGAUUCAGAAAGUAGUUCAGCAACACAAGAACAAGAGAUUAAAGAACAACCUUUCUUUAUUGAUUUAGAAACUUCACAAAACUAAAUCUCUCUUAGGUCUUUUGGAACAACUCUCCAAAGCCUUAUCUCUUGGGUCUUAUGGAACAACUCUCCAUAAGCCUCUUCUUCUCUCUUUAGGUCUUAUGGAACAACUCUCCAUAAACCUCUUCUUCUCUCUUUAGGUCUUAUGGAACAACUCUCCAUAAACCUCAUCUUCUCUCUUUAGGUCUUAUGGAACAACUCUCCAUAGACUUUUCUUCCUAUAUAGAACUUAGCUACCCCUAAGUCUAUAUGAGUCUCUUCCUCUAGACUCUCAUGAGAUCUGUCUCAACACCUCCACGUGUCUCGACUCUCUUCUUGAGCUCUCUCCUUUGAGCUACACGAGCUCCCCGCUGAGCUUCACGAGCUCCCUGCUUGAGCUGCUCUCACGAGCUCUCCUCUGAGCUACCCUCUGAGCUACUCUCUGAGCUACUUCGGCUAUACAAGCUACUCGAGCUCCUUGAGCUCCUCUGAGCUGUUCGAGCUCCCCUGAGCUUUUCUUCUUCUUCUUCAUAAGGCUAGUAUUUAUACUAGAACCAAGCUUCUCCUUUGCCUAUUGUGAAUAGGAAGACUUACAAAUCUUGUCCAACUUGACAUUAUUUGUAUUUCCUUUUCUCUUGAUUUCCUUUCUUGGAUUUCCUUUCUUGGAUCUCUUCUAGCAUCUUCUAGAAGGAGAUAACUUGCUCCUCAAGUUAGUUGGAAUUAUCCAACA
Molecule: long non-coding RNA, 3260 nt
Filed under: Arabidopsis lyrata
Lineage: Eukaryota; Viridiplantae; Streptophyta; Magnoliopsida; Brassicales; Brassicaceae
Description: long non-coding RNA (ALYR_LNC003261)
Source: RNAcentral